AUAAUGACAACUCCUACAGGUGUUUCAUGGAAUUAAAGGUUUGAUUUCAUGAAAAUAAUUGGGAAGUCGGUCCGCGCAAAUUCACGUCCCACAGCGCAAACCCGACGCUGCCCCCGCAACGGUAGGAGAGGAAUAGAGACCACACGGUAUCCACUGGAUUAACUCUGGGAAGGAUGUGAUCUCUGCCAUAAUUUAUGGCCCUCUCGAGCCCGGAAACCAGCCUGAGGCAAGUCUAGUAG
This 239-nucleotide non-coding RNA is filed under the name Kiloniella litopenaei. RNAcentral also lists the same sequence under 1 other name. The record is from RNAcentral. Lineage: Bacteria; Pseudomonadati; Pseudomonadota; Alphaproteobacteria; Rhodospirillales; Kiloniellaceae.